CAGUAGCCGCGGGAAUACGAAGGGGGCUAGCGUUGUUCGGAAUCACUGGGCGUAAAGCGCACGUAGGCGGACGCUUAAGUCAGGGGUGAAAUCCCGAGGCUCAACCUCGGAACUGCCUUUGAUACUGGGUGUCUUGAGUCCGGGAGAGGUGAGUGGAACUGCGAGUGUAGAGGUGAAAUUCGUAGAUAUUCGCAAGAACACCAGUGGCGAAGGCGGCUCACUGGCCCGGAACUGACGCUGAGGUGCGAAAGCGUGGGGAGCAAAUAGGAUUAGAUACCCCUGUAGUCCCUGUCUCUUAUCC
Molecule: ribosomal RNA, 301 nt
Filed under: uncultured bacterium
Lineage: Bacteria
Description: partial 16S ribosomal RNA
Rfam family: Bacterial small subunit ribosomal RNA
Source: RNAcentral